UACGUAGGGUGCAAGCGUUGUCCGGAAUUAUUGGGCAUAAAGAGCUCGUAGGCGGUUUGUCGCGUCGAAUGUGAAAACCCGGGGCUCAACCCCGGGCCUGCAUUCGAUACGGGCAGACUAGAGUUCGGUAGGGGAGUCUGGAAUUCCUGGUGUAGCGGUGAAAUGCGCAGAUAUCAGGAGGAACACCGGUGGCGAAGGCGGGACUCUGGGCCGAUACUGACGCUGAGGAGCGAAAGCGUGGGGAGCAAACAGG
RNAcentral lists this ribosomal RNA (253 nucleotides) under uncultured bacterium. RNAcentral's name for it is "partial 16S ribosomal RNA". It matches the Rfam family "Bacterial small subunit ribosomal RNA", at positions 524 to 776 of the family's 1533-position model. The record is from RNAcentral.